This is a non-coding RNA of Danio rerio (zebrafish), 117 nucleotides long. NCBI's taxonomy places the organism in Eukaryota, Metazoa, Chordata, Actinopteri, Cypriniformes, Danionidae. The record is from Rfam.
UGUUACAGCCAUCUCACCCUGCAGCCCAAGACCGGUUACUCACUGAAGCUAAGCAGGGCUGAGCCUGGUCAGUACCUGGAUGGGAGUCCACUAGGGAACACUAGGUUGCUGUUGGAA